RNAcentral lists this long non-coding RNA (1209 nucleotides) under Cavia porcellus (domestic guinea pig). RNAcentral's name for it is "lncRNA (ENSCPOG00000035513.1)". Lineage: Eukaryota; Metazoa; Chordata; Mammalia; Rodentia; Caviidae. The record is from RNAcentral.
CAACAUGUAGCCAGGCCAAGCUUAAUCUAAGUUAGUGACCCCCAAAUUUCACCAAAUGUUCUAGAGUUUAAAAUAUACCUAGCACUCCUACUGUGUGAAUUUAAAUUUAUAAAUUAUAUGAAUACUACACGUUACCAAAUGUGUGAAAAUAAACAUGAAUAAAGAAAGAGAUACAAGCUGUAAUACUUUUCUCAUGCAUCAUACAUCCUCACGAUUUUUUCAGUCUGCUUCAGAGACUGUCACUCUAGAACAAGACAAGUUUAAUCUCAGACCUUUACAGGAACGGUUAUGAUGCCUUAAUAUUUUCAUUUUCCUUUUCUUUGUAGGCUGGUCUGUGGUUUUCAGGAGAUGAAGAGAUAAAAGUUCCAGAAAAUCCCCUUGAGCCCUUGCCAUUUAAUAGGCAAGAACACCUUAUAGAGUUCUUCUUCAUGCUGUUUGCUGACUGUGAGAAGGACCCACCCCAGCUUGACUACACUCAGAUGCUGCUGUAUUUUGCAUGCCACCCGGACAUGGUGGAAGGUAUCUACAGGGCUCUCAGUGUGGCUGUUGGAACUCAUAUCUUCAGACAAGUUGAAACGCCUGUGCUGGCUGCAGAAAAGACUCCCUUCUCUCCUGGCCUGAGUCCCAUCAGUGAAUCUCCUGACCUUGAGGAAAAGUCUGGAAAAGAAGAAAGAGAAGUGAAAGAGGAGAGGGGUGAAAGAGAACAAAAGAAAAAAGAAGUACCUGGCAAGACAAACACUGAAAAGAUUUCCAUGGAAACACUACUCACAGUAUUCCGAGGAGGAAGCGAAACACAAGAUACUAACCGAUUUGCCAGUCACCUAAAGAUAGAGAACAUUUAUGCAGAGAAUUUCACAAAGACAUUUCAGGACCUUGGUGUUAAGAAUGUGGAGCUGAUUGAAAUUGCUCUUCUUUUGAAACAUCCUUUCAUUCAGCAACUGAUUGCAAGUUAUUCAGACUAUAAGCUUCCUGUUAUUAAGAAGAUUCUCCAAAGGAAUGGACAUGUACAAAGACCUGAUGAUGAAAGAUCACCUACAAGAUUUACAGAGGAAAAGAAAUGACAAAACAGUAUCAUUUCAUAAUUUGACAAUGAGCUUUCCAAAAAUCAAAUGAGAAUAUGAUGUUUAUCAUACAUAUUCCGUUGUAAACAGAGAAAAUGACCCUCACUCAAUUAAAAAUAUUGUAUUACAAGCCUUACAGAAAUACAGC